UAACGCGUGGAUAACCUGCCUCACACUGGGGAUAACAGUUAGAAAUGACUGCUAAUACCGCAUAAGCGCACAGUGCCGCAUGGCAGUGUGUGAAAAACUCCGGUGGUGUGAGAUGGAUCCGCGUCUGAUUAGCCAGUUGGCGGGGUAACGGCCCACCAAAGCGACGAUCAGUAGCCGACCUGAGAGGGUGACCGGCCACAUUGGGACUGAGACACGGCCCAA
RNAcentral lists this ribosomal RNA (222 nucleotides) under uncultured bacterium. RNAcentral's name for it is "partial 16S ribosomal RNA". It matches the Rfam family "Bacterial small subunit ribosomal RNA", at positions 111 to 334 of the family's 1533-position model. The record is from RNAcentral.